RNAcentral lists this long non-coding RNA (2574 nucleotides) under Malus domestica (apple). RNAcentral's name for it is "long non-coding RNA (MDOM_LNC011153)". The record is from RNAcentral. Lineage: Eukaryota; Viridiplantae; Streptophyta; Magnoliopsida; Rosales; Rosaceae.
CACAUGCACAUUAUUGUAAAAAUCACUACACAAUCGAUAUAAAGUUAAUUCCAGGAUGGGCCCUGGACUACCCUAGUCUCCCUGUGGCUCCGCCACUGAGUAUCUAUACUACAAAAUUGUAUUCUUGCAAGUAUUUCAUGUGAUUUUGAUCUUAUUUACAUAGACAACAAAAUCCUAUCAGGUAUUUCCUUUGUGAUUAUAUUGAUUUCAAUUUCUCCCAAUUUUCCCCUCCCCAAUGUAAAAAAAAGUAGAAAUUUCUCCCAAUUUCUCCCAAUCCCUGUUUACGAUGAUGCAGCCUGCUCAGCAUUUAAACCUCAACAAAGAACUCCUCAUCGCCCUGUUGCCUUCCAUGGUAAGUCUUUUAAUUGCUACAAUCGUUCCAUCACUGAAGACACCCUUGAACACCUUGCCAAAACCACCCUCUCCAAGUAUGCUUACAAAGUUUAUGGGCAGGAAACUUACCUCGGAGGUGAUCCAAGGCGAAGAUCUCGAACUCUUCUAGACGAACUUCAAGGGUAGGAGCAGAGCAGUAGAGAGGGAGGAUGAGCAUGAAGAGAACAACCCUAAUUUUUAUUUUAUGAUUGUUCGUAACUAAUUCCUUUUGCUAGGGCGAGGCCACAAGUCUUAGCAAGAAUAUAUAGUUUCUUUUCAAUUUACUUAUGAUAUUAUGCAUGCAUGUUUUCAAUUAUUAAUCACUGUUUUAAGAUAUCUAAGUGUUUUAGUGAUUCACGACUAUUAGGAUAUUUAGGAAAGUAAUUUGAUGCAAUUUUGGUCGGAGGGUUCCUUGAAAUUGGCGUUGACUUCUUGUGGUUAAUAAUUGUAAUUUCACUUAGGAUGAACAUCAUGUCUUAAGGGUUGCAUCGUUUUUCUAAGGGUUUUCAUAAAACUUAAUGAGUCUGUUCAUAUUUGAUGCGAAAGUCUGGACAUGUUGCAUGUUAGAUAUACGUUUUAUGUUGGAGGUUCCAAGUAGGACAUAUAUUAGGAAAACCUAACAUUCAAAGUAUGCAUAGGUAUUUUAUAAGUAAUUGGGAUAACUACGUAGGAUUGUUAAGGUGAUGGCGGAACCCUAGUGUCUCUUUAAAUUGAUUUUCUUUAAAUUGUUUUCUAGUUAAUUUAUUUAAUUAUUUUUAUUUUAAAUUCUUUUUUAAUAUUUUAAAUGUCAAAAUUAACAUUUUCUAAACUUUGUUUUAAAAUAAUUAAUUAAAAGUUGGUUUUAAAUAAAUAAAAAUUAUACAUUCAAUUCAUGUGGAACACGACCUUACUUGAGUCAUUUAUACUAUAACUACCUUGUUCUCUUACAAGUAUUUUUAAUGUGUUUUUAUCCCUAUUUGUGUAGGUGGUAAAAAUCCUAUCAUGUUCCAUCAAAGACUUUUUCUCCCAUUAAUGGCCAACACGUGGCUUGAAGUUGACAUAUGGAUAGACUUGUCCUUAAAGCCAUGUGCCAGAAAGUUUUCAGGACUACCAAUUGCUUGGGCGGUCGGAAAGUACUUUAGGUUGCAUUCAUCUCUUCCUGUCGAUAGACUAUACAGGACUAGGACCGGUCCUUUGUUAGUGGUCGUCUUUUGUCAUUGCAGUAGUGCUAUGUCUGCUAAAUGUUGGGCUGGCUUGUUAGGCUCAAUGUCUUGAUCCUCUCAUCUAGUAGUGGGCUUUGCCCAUCUAUUUAAGUGCAAAAUAACUAUGUAUUGUUUCAAUAAGUCUAAAAAGACCCUGUGUUAGCAAUAUUUUCUAAUAAUUGCAUAUAAAAGUUUCUAUCUUCAUAUUGUUAGAGCAAUUUCAAAAAAUAUGAAAAUAAUAAGACAAAAUGAUUGAAUAAUUAAUUUGAUUAAUUGGAUAACGAUUGAAAUUUAGUGAAAUAGUUUAAAUUAAAUGAUGUUUAGACGUCUUAAAUGGCUCCCAAAAUAACUUUGAAUUAGUCAACUCAUAGGGCAAGAACCUAUCGGGUUUACAUUAAGUUACAAGAUGUCUUAAAGUUAAAAAGUGGUCCAAAUGACCUAUUAACCUAUUCUGUUCCAAACAUUUUGAGGGAGAGGGCUUCUGUCUUGACAUAAACAUCCAUAUGGUCACUUAUCCACUAAUCGCUCUACAAGUGAUGCAUGCUUUUGAGAAAUGAAAGAAACUAGAAUUAAGAGAAGAAAAAAAAAAUAGCCUUUUUUUAGACAGAAGUUCAGGCUCCAUCAGCCUUGAAAUUGAGAGUGAAAUUCCAUCUCGUUCUCCUCUUUCUAUUAGACAAAGAGUGCACCAACGUCCACUCCUUCUCUAGGUCCUUUAUUCAUCUGGAAUGCUAUAAGGUGUGGAGACUUUAGAGGUGUUUGGAUUAAAACUUAAUUUUUGGCCCAAAGAUGGAGUCGGCCCAAAAGGAGGCCUGGAGGAAUGGAAGAUCAAGGCCCGGCCGAAACCUGGGAAAGCAAGAAAGGGCCUUUUCUGACUUGAUACAAUUCAUAAGGGCCACUUGCCUACCUACCCAAGGACCAAGUGGUGUAGACUGAUCAGACUGCACAGCCCAUAAAGUACUUUAUGGUGACAUUACAUGUAAUAAAGCUGAUGAGUCAUCACCCUCAGACCGCAUUUGGGCAA